RNAcentral lists this ribosomal RNA (253 nucleotides) under uncultured bacterium. Its description in RNAcentral is "partial 16S ribosomal RNA". It matches the Rfam family "Bacterial small subunit ribosomal RNA", at positions 524 to 776 of the family's 1533-position model. The record is from RNAcentral.
UACAGAGGUCCCAAGCGUUGUUCGGAUUCAUUGGGCGUAAAGGGUGCGUAGGCGGCCUUGUAAGUCAGUGCUGAAAUAUUCCGGCUUAACCGGGAGGGUGGCAUUGAUACUGUGAGGCUAGAGUACAGAUGAGGUAGGCGGAAUUGACGGUGUAGCGGUGAAAUGCUUAGAUAUCGUCAAGAACACCUAUAGCGAAGGCAGCUUACUAGGCUGUAACUGACGCUGAGGCACGAAAGUGUGGGGAUCAAACAGG